UUUGGCACAAACAUCUAGCUAUCAUCUUGCUCUGCCAGCGCUCAGUUCUUGUCGGCGGUGUUUGUGUAAUUUUCGAAAACAAUUUGUGUGAAAUAUGUGCGUGGAAAGUAAACAAACGCCGAAGAAUCGAAAUAUUACGCAUACGCGGUGUGCUGGCUGUGCCCCAGAAACAACAACAGGUCUGUUUUGGGCCAGAUGUUACCUUCGCUCGAUCUAAACAACGGCGGCUGGAAAGAAAUUGAAAUUCACUGGAAUCGAUCAAUGAAUGAACCGAACGCCUGACCCUGAGCAUCCAAAUGGCAAUGGGAGGGGGAAGUGCCUUAUUUAUGUUUGCUUAACUUGCCCCAUUAUUUGGCCAGCGCAGUGUUCAAACAAACAGUGUUUUCUCUUGGAUAAACGCACGGCGAGCACUUCAACUCCAGAUCACCUGAUACUGAAUGAAGGGGGUUCAGUUUCAGGCCUUGUCAAUCCCAAUCCGUUCGCAUCAAGUAAAGCUUUCACCCGAGCGAAACUAAAUGGUUUUGGUCUACGGAAUCUGUUUGCUCGAAAGCUUUUGCCAAGCAAGUUGCCAGAUAACUUGCCCCCAACUUUGAAUAUUCCCCAUAAGCCCCUGAUUAACUGGAAAGCCGAGUUCUUGGUAAACAUUUAGCAAACAUCCCGUUGGAUGAAUCAUUUACGAUAUGGCUAUGAUUUAUUAAAGUUAAUUACUUAAUCAUCU
Molecule: non-coding RNA, 718 nt
Organism: Drosophila melanogaster (fruit fly)
Lineage: Eukaryota; Metazoa; Arthropoda; Insecta; Diptera; Drosophilidae
Source: Ensembl